UAUAGUGGCGACCGGGUGAGUAACACGUGACUAACCUACCUUCGAGUGGGGGAUAACCUCGGGAAACCGGGGCUAAUACCGCAUAAAAUCUUCGUUAUGAGAAAGCGGAGAUCAAAGGAGCAAUUCGCUUGAAGAGGGGGUCGCGGCUGAUUAGCUAGUUGGUGGGGUAACGGCCCACCAAGGCUUUGAUCGGUAGCCGGCCUGAGAGGGCGCACGGCCACACUGGAACUGAAACACGGUCCAG
Molecule: ribosomal RNA, 244 nt
Filed under: uncultured bacterium
Lineage: Bacteria
Description: partial 16S ribosomal RNA
Rfam family: Bacterial small subunit ribosomal RNA
Source: RNAcentral